GCUCCUGUCAACAUGUUCUGAGGCAAAUAGUUAGCAUAUUGAGGAAUAGGAGAGUCGGGAGAGAGAGGUCUAAACUCCAAUGACGUAUGAGAACCUGGUGAGGAUGGUCUCAGCUCUUUCAACCAAUGCUCCAGGAAAGACAGCUUGUAGUCAGACUCUGAGGAUAGAGAAUCAGGUGACAGCGGUCGUAGUGCCAUCACACAUUCACCAACCACAUUUUUGAAUGCCUCAUCUGAUCCUGAUAGAGGGGACUCUGGUCUCACCUCAUAUGGCACUUGUUCAUAGUUCCAGUUGGUAUCAAAGUACUCUAUGUCUGAUGUUGCUGAGUGAGGAGAUGCAGAUCUGUUCCACUGAAUGGCAGGCACUGUAGACAUAUUAAAUUGAGGUACAGGGGAGUCAGGAGUAAGGGCUCUAGUGAAGGAAUUAGACUCAGAUGAAGGCCUGUCCUCAAGGAAGAAGUCUUCCAGAUAAUACUCUUCGCUCUCACUGUCUGAUAUUGCAGAAAUGGGAGAUAAGCUUUGGAUACCAGUGGAGUGCAUUGAGAUAGUCAAUGGAAUUUCAUACUGUGGAACUGGAGAGUCAGGGGAGAGCGGCCUGUAUUCAUCGAGUGAUGAAAUAGAUUCAGGAGAGAAGGCUCUCACUUCUUCAAGCCACUUUGAGAAAAAUAAGCAGUAGUCUGUUUCAGAUAUCAGUGACUCCGGUGUCAAUGGUCUAUAUUUAGUCAAAUAUUUACUGGUGGUUUCAUCAUCUAAAAUGACUGAUUCUGGUGAAUCGGGUCUGUCCUCGUCAAACAACUCUGCCAGACAGAGGUCAGAGUACUCAACAUCUGACGCUAGAGAUACGGGAGAUGAUGAUCGUUUACCUGUGAAGUUUAACAGUUCAAAUGUCUGGCAGCCAUAUUCAGGAAUAGGUGAAUCAGGAGACAGAGGUCUACAUGCAUCUGGUGAAUAUGAUGAAUCUGGACACCACGUUCUGUCUUCAUUGAACAACUCAUUCAGACACAACUCAGAAUACUCAAUGUCUAGGAUUGGUGAUGUAGGAGAGGAUGAUCUACUUCCUGUGUAGAUUGACGUCUCAAAUUUCACAUUACCAUAGUCAGGAAUAGGUGAAUCAGGUGAGAGGAAUCUACCUUCAUCACAUAAACACAAUGGUUCCGGUGAAUCUAUUCUCCCUUCUUGGAACAAUUCCUCAAGAUAAAGAUCAGAGUAUUCAAUAUCUGACGCUAAAGAUACGGGAGAUGAUGAUCGUUUACCUGUGAAGUUCAACUGCUCAAAUGUAUGGCAGCCAUAUUCAGGAAUAGGGGAAUCAGGAGACAGGGGUGUAUAUUCAUCUAAUGAUGUAAAGGCUUCUGGUGAGGACGUUCUUUCUUCCUCUAACCAUUCAAGGAAAGAUAAUGAAUAGUCAUUUUCAGAUGUGAGGGAGUCUGGUGAUAUUGGUCUAUGCUCACUCAGGCCUCUCACAGUCCCGUUGGUGUUUAUUUCUGAUUCCAGUGACUCUGGUCUGUCUUCACUGAACAACUCUUCAAAACACAUUUCAGAGUAUUCAUUAUCAGAUACUAGAGAUAUGGGAGAUGAUGUUCUAUUACUUCCAUAGACAAACUGCUCAAGUAUUGGGCAAACAAACGUAGGAAUAGGUGAAUCAGGAGACAGAGGUCUACAUGUAUCUGGUGAAUAUGAUGAAUCUGGAGACCACAAUCUGUCUUCAUUGAACAACUCAUUCAGACACAACUCAGAAUAUUCAAUGUCUAGGAUUGAUGAUGUGGGAGAGGAUGAUCUACUUCGUGUGUAGAUUGACGUCUCAAAUUUAGCAUGACCAAAGUCAGGAAUAGGUGAAUCAGGAGACAGAAGUCUACCUUCAUCACAUAAACACAAUGGUUCAGGUGAAUCUAUUCUCCCUUCUUGGAACAAUUCCUCAAGAUAAAGGUCAGAGUAUUCAAUAUCUGACGCUAAAAAUAUGGGAGAUGAUGAUCGUUUACCUGUGAAGUUUAUCUGUUCAAAUGUAUGGCAGCCAUAUUCAGGAAUAGGUGAAUCAGGAGACAGAGGUCUACCUUCAUCACAUAAACAUAAUGGUUCCGGUGAAUCUAUUCUCCCUUCUUGGAAUAAUUCCUCAAGAUAGAGGUCAGAGUAUUCAAUAUCUGAUGCUAAAGAUAAGGGAGAUGAUGAUCUGCUAGUUGAACAUAUCAGCUGGUCACAUGUAGAAUGAAUAUAUUCAGGAAUAGGUGAAUCAGGAGACAGAGGUCUACAUGCAUCUGGUGAAUAUGAUGAAUCUGGAGACCACGUUCUGUCUUCAUUGAACAACUCAUUCGGACAUAACUCAGAAUACUCAAUAUCUAGGAUUGGUGAUGUGGGAGAGGAUGAUCUACUUCCUGUGUAGAUGAACGUCUCAAAUUUAGCAUGACCAUAGUCAGGAAUAGGUGAAUCAGGAGACAGAAGUCUACCUUCAUCACAUAAACAUAAUGGUUCCGGUGAAUCUAUUCUCCCUUCUUGGAACAAUUCCUCAAGAUCAAGGUCAGAGUAUUCAAUAUCUGACGCUAAAGAUACGGGAGAUGAUGAUCGUUUACCUGUGAAGUUUAUCUGUUCAAAUGUAUGGCAGCCAUAUUCAGGAAUAGGGGAAUCAGGAGACAGGGGUGUAUAUUCAUCUAAUGAUGUAAAGGCUUCUGGUGAGGAUGUUCUUUCUUCCUCUAACCAUUCAAGGAAAGAUAAGGAAUAGUCAUUUUCAGAUGUGAGGGAGUCUGGUGAUAUUGGUCUAUGCUCACUCAGGCCUCUCACAGUCUCGUUGGUGUUUAUUUCUGAUUCCGGUGACUCUGGUCUGUCUUCACUGAACAACUCUUCAAAACACAUUUCAGAGUAUUCAUUAUCUGAUACUAGAGAUAUGGGAGAUGAUGUUCUAUUACUUCCAUAGACAAAUUGCUCAAAUAUUGGGCAAACAAACGCAGCAAUUGGUGAAUCAGGAGACAGAGGUCUACAUGCAUCUGGUGAAUAUGAUGAAUCUGGAGACCACGUUCUGUCUUCAUUGAACAACUCAUUCGGACAUAACUCAGAAUACUCAAUGUCUAGGAUUGGUGAUGUGGGAGAGGAUGAUCUACUUCCUGUGUAGAUGAACGUCUCAAAUUUAGCAUGACCAUAGUCAGGAAUAGGUGAAUCAGGAGACAGAAGUCUACCUUCAUCAUAUAAACAUAAUGGUUCCGGUGAAUCUAUUCUCCCUUCUUGGAACAAUUCCUCAAGAUCAAGGUCAGAGUAUUCAAUAUCUGACGCUAAAGAUACGGGAGAUGAUGAUCGUUUACCUGUGAAGUUUAUCUGUUCAAAUGUAUGGCAGCCAUAUUCAGGAAUAGGGGAAUCAGGAGACAGGGGUGUAUAUUCAUCUAAUGAUGUAAAGGCUUCUGGUGAGGAUGUUCUUUCUUCCUCUAACCAUUCAAGGAAAGAUAAGGAAUAGUCAUUUUCAGAUGUGAGGGAGUCUGGUGAUAUUGGUCUAUGCUCACUCA
This is a long non-coding RNA of Clupea harengus (Atlantic herring), 3481 nucleotides long. The record is from Ensembl. Lineage: Eukaryota; Metazoa; Chordata; Actinopteri; Clupeiformes; Clupeidae.